Molecule: long non-coding RNA, 655 nt
Filed under: Bos indicus x Bos taurus (hybrid cattle)
Lineage: Eukaryota; Metazoa; Chordata; Mammalia; Artiodactyla; Bovidae
Description: lncRNA (ENSBIXG00005030929.1)
Source: RNAcentral
UUGCGAUAUCUUUGGCAGAGUGAUAAUGCUGUAUAAAGCAAGAACAAGUCCAAAUGAGAGAACUAUGAUAGAGGUCACUAAGGUUCUAUUGCAAAGCCUAUCUUCUUCAGUUAAAUGUUCUUAAGUUGGUCUACGGCAGAGACUGCAAGCAGGUGACUGUAACCUGAACUCCUAAAAUGAACUGUUUCUAUCUUGUUCUACAGGUGUAAAGUCAAAUAUGCUGAAUGGCUCUCCAUCAACAAAUUAAAGAGGCAAAUAUAAAAUCCAGAUUUUUCAGAUUCUGAAAGCACAAGAAAGUUACCUGGUGGAAAAAAAGUGAAGCGAUCUCCAGUGGAGAGGGACUCCGUCUUCUGUGGGCUUGCCUGAAGAACAGGGGACUUACCUACAUAUCAGAGAAAACAGAUCCAGUUUUAUGGAGAGAAAAGGUAACUGUGAAAUGGUCUUCAUAUUCCCCAUGAAGAAUAUACAGAGAAUUGAACUCUUAAAUAUGCUAUUGGCAGAAGGAGACAAGUUUUAAUUAUUGGGUAAGGAUUAUUUUAAUAUGUAUGUGAAUUGCUGACAUGAUCAUCCAUCUUUCUCCAAUUCUUGAAAAUGGUUUGAUUUACUUAAUAUUCAAUUGUAAUUUGUUUAUAUCAUUAAUUUAUUUGGCAUAUUC